This 459-nucleotide ribosomal RNA is filed under the name uncultured bacterium. RNAcentral describes it as "partial 16S ribosomal RNA". It matches the Rfam family "Bacterial small subunit ribosomal RNA", at positions 339 to 795 of the family's 1533-position model. The record is from RNAcentral.
CUACGGGUUGCUCCAGUUUCGAAUCAUUCACAAUGGGCGAAAGCCUGAUGGUGCGACGCCGCGUGGGGGAUGAAGGUCUUCGGAUUGUAAACCCCUGUCAUUAAGGAGCAAAACCUAGGUUCAUAGCCUAGCUUGAGUUAACUUAAAGAGGAAGCAGUGGCUAACUCCGUGCCAGCAGCCGCGGUAAUACGGAGACUGCGAGCGUUACUCGGAUUCACUGGGCGUAAAGGGUGCGUAGGCGGUUAAAUGUGUCAGGUGUGAAAUCCCGAAGCUCAACUUCGGAACUGCGCCUGAAACUAUUUAACUAGAGAUUCGGAGAGGUAAACGGAAUUCCAGGUGUAGCGGUGAAAUGCGUAGAUAUCUGGAGGAACUCUAAAGGCGAAGGCAGUUUACUGGACGAAUUCUGACGCUGAGGCACGAAAGCGUGGGGAGCAAAAGGGAUUAGAUACCCUAGUAGUC